UUUUAAGUAUCAUAAUUAAUGAAUUCAAUUUCGACUUGAAAUAUAGAUUAAUAAUCUCUUUAAUU
This 65-nucleotide transfer RNA is filed under the name Enicospilus sp. MD-2008. Its description in RNAcentral is "tRNA-Arg". Lineage: Eukaryota; Metazoa; Arthropoda; Insecta; Hymenoptera; Ichneumonidae. The record is from RNAcentral.